Molecule: non-coding RNA, 413 nt
Organism: Pelobates cultripes (western spadefoot toad)
Lineage: Eukaryota; Metazoa; Chordata; Amphibia; Anura; Pelobatidae
Source: the annotation of a GenBank genome assembly
GUCACGGGUUAAUAAUUUAAUACCUGUAACGUAGCUGAAAAUAUCUGCUCACCCCCCUGCUUCCAAACAGUAAAGGGAAUUUCAAUGGGUUAUAUCAUUCCUACACUUAGGAAUUGGGAGGACUGAAUGGACUAUCAUUUAACUGUUAGCUUUACAUUAUUGCAUUACCUUUUGGUAGUGCUGUGCCAUGAUAAAACUUUCAAGUCCCUUAGGGUCCCAGACUUAUUUUUUUAUGUAACAUUGUAGUACUUAAAUAACAGUGUAUUUUGAGAAUUUAUGCUUCUAUUAUCUAUGGGUGCGGCAGAUACUGUGUGAGGUUUUAUAUGUGUAUGGCCUUUACAUUUGUGUGAGUGUGUAUUCAGUCUGUGUAUGCACUGUUUGUUGUAUUGAGUGUAUGGAAGAUUUGCUUGUAG